CAGCAGCCACGGUAAUACGAAGGGUGCAAGCAUUAAUCGGAAUUACUGGGCGUAAAGCGUGCGUAGGCGGUGAGUUAAGUCUGCUGUGGAAUCCCCGGGCUCAACCUGGGAAUGGCAGUGGAUACUGGCUCGCUAGAGUGUGUCAGAGGAUGGUGGAAUUCCCGGUGUAGCGGUGAAAUGCGUAGAGAUCGGGAGGAACAUCAGUGGCGAAGGCGGCCAUCUGGGACAACACUGACGCUGAGGCACGAAAGCGUGGGGAGCAAACAGGAUUAGAUACCCGCGUAGUCCCUGUCUCUUAUAC
RNAcentral lists this ribosomal RNA (301 nucleotides) under uncultured bacterium. RNAcentral describes it as "partial 16S ribosomal RNA". It matches the Rfam family "Bacterial small subunit ribosomal RNA", at positions 509 to 807 of the family's 1533-position model. The record is from RNAcentral.